UAGUGCCAAUGAUGAAAGUACAUAAAUGUGCCUACAUCGUUUGAUAUUUUUAUGAGAAAUGUGUAUGAUCUGAGGCCAUG
Molecule: small nucleolar RNA, 80 nt
Organism: Ipomoea triloba (trilobed morning glory)
Lineage: Eukaryota; Viridiplantae; Streptophyta; Magnoliopsida; Solanales; Convolvulaceae
Product: small nucleolar RNA SNORD34
Exons: 1
Source: RefSeq, a predicted model, not a curated record